AAUGAACGCUGGCGGCGCGCCUAAUACAUGCAAGUCGAGCGAGAAGACGUAGCAAUACGUUUGUAAAGCGGCGAACGGGUGAGGAAUACAUGGGUAACCUACCCUCGAGUGGGGAAUAACUAGCCGAAAGGUUAGCUAAUACCGCGUACGCUUCUUGGACUUCGGUUCAGGGAGGAAAGCGAUGCCGAGGGUAUCGCGCUCUUGGAUGGGCUCAUGUCCUAUCAGCUUGUUGGNGAGGUAACGGCUCACCAAGGCUUCGACGGGUAGCUGGUCUGAGAGGACGACCAGUCACACUGGAACUGAGACACGGUCCAGACACCUACGGGUGGCAGCAGUCGAGU
RNAcentral lists this ribosomal RNA (341 nucleotides) under uncultured bacterium. RNAcentral describes it as "bacterial SSU rRNA". It matches the Rfam family "Bacterial small subunit ribosomal RNA", at positions 29 to 360 of the family's 1533-position model. The record is from RNAcentral.